RNAcentral lists this ribosomal RNA (2815 nucleotides) under Listeria monocytogenes. Its description in RNAcentral is "bacterial LSU rRNA". It matches the Rfam family "Bacterial large subunit ribosomal RNA". The record is from RNAcentral. Lineage: Bacteria; Bacillati; Bacillota; Bacilli; Caryophanales; Listeriaceae.
UUGGUUAAGUUAGAAAGGGCGCACGGUGGAUGCCUUGGCACUAGGAGCCGAAGAAGGACGGGACUAACACCGAUAUGCUUUGGGGAGCUGUACGUAAGCGUUGAUCCAGAGAUUUCCGAAUGGGGGAACCCACUAUCUUUAGUCGGAUAGUAUCCUUACGUGAAUACAUAGCGUGAGGAAGGCAGACCCAGGGAACUGAAACAUCUAAGUACCUGGAGGAAGAGAAAGAAAAAUCGAUUUCCUGAGUAGCGGCGAGCGAAACGGAAAGAGCCCAAACCAAGAAGCUUGCUUCUUGGGGUUGUAGGACACUCUAUACGGAGUUACAAAAGAAAGUUAUAAAUGAAGCGGUCUGGAAAGGCCCGCCAAAGACGGUAACAGCCCGGUAGUUGAAAUGGCUUUCCCUCCAGAGUGGAUCCUGAGUACGGCGGAACACGUGAAAUUCCGUCGGAAUCCGGGAGGACCAUCUCCCAAGGCUAAAUACUCCCUAGUGACCGAUAGUGAACCAGUACCGUGAGGGAAAGGUGAAAAGCACCCCGGAAGGGGAGUGAAACAGUUCCUGAAACCGUGUGCCUACAAGUAGUUAGAGCCCGUUAAUGGGUGAUAGCGUGCCUUUUGUAGAAUGAACCGGCGAGUUACGAUUUGUUGCAAGGUUAAGCGGNGGAGCCGUAGCGAAAGCGAGUCUGAAUAGGGCGCAUAAGUAACAGGUCGUAGACCCGAAACCAGGUGAUCUACCCAUGUCCAGGAUGAAGGUAAGGUAAUACUUACUGGAGGUCCGAACCCACGCACGUUGAAAAGUGCGGGGAUGAGGUGUGGGUAGCGGAGAAAUUCCAAUCGAACUUGGAGAUAGCUGGUUCUCUCCGAAAUAGCUUUAGGGCUAGCCUCGAGGUAAAGAGUCAUGGAGGUAGAGCACUGUUUGGACUAGGGGCCCUUCUCGGGUUACCGAAUUCAGAUAAACUCCGAAUGCCAUGUACUUAUACUCGGGAGUCAGACUGCGAGUGAUAAGAUCCGUAGUCGAAAGGGAAACAGCCCAGACCACCAGUUAAGGUCCCCAAAUAUAUGUUAAGUGGAAAAGGAUGUGGGGUUGCUUAGACAACCAGGAUGUUGGCUUAGAAGCAGCCACCAUUGAAAGAGUGCGUAAUAGCUCACUGGUCGAGUGACCCCGCGCCGAAAAUGUACCGGGGCUAAACAUAUUACCGAAACUGUGGAUGAACCUCUUUAGAGGUUCGUGGUAGGAGAGCGUUCUAAGGGCGGUGAAGUCAGACCGGAAGGACUGGUGGAGCGCUUAGAAGUGAGAAUGCCGGUAUGAGUAGCGAAAGAAGGGUGAGAAUCCCUUCCACCGAAUAUCUAAGGUUUCCUGAGGAAGGCUCGUCCGCUCAGGGUUAGUCGGGACCUAAGCCGAGGCCGAUAGGCGUAGGCGAUGGACAACAGGUAGAGAUUCCUGUACCAGUGCUAAUUGUUUAACCGAUGGGGUGACACAGAAGGAUAGGGAAUCGCACGAAUGGAAAUGUGCGUCCAAGCAGUGAGUGUGAGAAGUAGGCAAAUCCGCUUCUCGCGAAGCAUGAGCUGUGAUGGGGAAGGAAAUUAAGUACGGAAGUUCCUGAUUUCACGCUGUCAAGAAAAGCCUCUAGGAAGAGUAGUACUGCCCGUACCGCAAACCGACACAGGUAGAUGAGGAGAGAAUCCUAAGGUGAGCGAGAGAACUCUCGUUAAGGAACUCGGCAAAAUGACCCCGUAACUUCGGGAGAAGGGGUGCUCUAUUAGGGUGCAAGCCCGAGAGAGCCGCAGUGAAUAGGCCCAGGCGACUGUUUAGCAAAAACACAGGUCUCUGCAAAACCGUAAGGUGACGUAUAGGGGCUGACGCCUGCCCGGUGCUGGAAGGUUAAGAGGAGUGCUUAGCUUCGGCGAAGGUACGAAUUGAAGCCCCAGUAAACGGCGGCCGUAACUAUAACGGUCCUAAGGUAGCGAAAUUCCUUGUCGGGUAAGUUCCGACCCGCACGAAAGGCGCAACGAUCUGGGCACUGUCUCAACGAGAGACUCGGUGAAAUUAUAGUACCUGUGAAGAUGCAGGUUACCCGCGACAGGACGGAAAGACCCCGUGGAGCUUUACUGCAACCUGAUAUGGAAUGUUUGUACCGCUUGUACAGGAUAGGUAGGAGCCGAAGAGACGUGUGCGCUAGCAUACGAGGAGGCAAUGGUGGGAUACUNUCCCUCAGAAUGGAUGGAAAUCAUUCGCAGAGUGUAAAGGCACAAGGGAGCUUGACUGCGAGACUGACAAGUCGAGCAGGGACGAAAGUCGGGCUUAGUGAUCCGGUGGUUCCGCAUGGAAGGGCCAUCGCUCAACGGAUAAAAGCUACCCCGGGGAUAACAGGCUUAUCUCCCCCAAGAGUCCACAUCGACGGGGAGGUUUGGCACCUCGAUGUCGGCUCGUCGCAUCCUGGGGCUGUAGUCGGUCCCAAGGGUUGGGCUGUUCGCCCAUUAAAGCGGCACGCGAGCUGGGUUCAGAACGUCGUGAGACAGUUCGGUCCCUAUCCGUCGCGGGCGCAGGAAAUUUGAGAGGAGCUGUCCUUAGUACGAGAGGACCGGGAUGGACACACCGCUGGUGUACCAGUUGUUCCGCCAGGAGCAUCGCUGGGUAGCUAUGUGUGGCAGGGAUAAACGCUGAAAGCAUCUAAGCGUGAAGCCCCCCUCAAGAUGAGAUUUCCCAUUUCUUCGGAAAGUAAGAUCCCUGAAAGAUGAUCAGGUAGAUAGGUUUGGAGUGGAAGUGUAGCGAUACAUGGAGCGGACAAAUACUAAUCGAUCGAGGACUUAACCAAAA